Molecule: long non-coding RNA, 8604 nt
Filed under: Manihot esculenta (cassava)
Lineage: Eukaryota; Viridiplantae; Streptophyta; Magnoliopsida; Malpighiales; Euphorbiaceae
Description: long non-coding RNA (MESC_LNC004248)
Source: RNAcentral
GAAAAUGUAAUGUUCUCUAUCAUACCUAUGGCACAUUAAUUUUGUUAUUUAUGUGGCUAUGUGAUUCAACUUCAUAUUGUGACCUGAAUUGAAUAGAAAAUGAAAAUUUAUCGUGCAAUUAUUUUAAUAAUUUUUUUAAAAUAAAAAUCUUGUAUUGUGGUCUCAUACUGAGGCAGUUUGUUUUGCAAAAUGCUCCAUAUGAAUGGAAGUGGACAUGAGAGGUCUCUCAAAAACUUCACAUAGCUUUGAGAAGCAAUUGCUAUAAAAUUUUAUCAAUGGUUAAUAUUAACAUUAAGUUUUUCUUGCUGCAGGUGCUUGAUGAGAAAGAGUUAUUGGAUAAAAUAGUCUCUCGAACUCCUCUUCAACGCCUUGGAGAACCAAAAGAAGUCUCAUCUUUGGUUGCAUUCCUUUGCCUACCUGCUGCUUCUUACAUUACUGGACAGAUUAUUUCUGUUGAUGGAGGUUUGAGUGUGAAUGGAUUUGAUCCUGUUAUGAAACUAGAUUGAGCAAAUCAGGCUGUUAUGGCUGAGGAGAUCAGAGAAAAAAUAAAUAUGGGAAUUGUUUGAAUAACAUAGCAUUGUAAUUUGCAGAUGCUCAAUUCAUUUCUUCAUGGUCCCCUUCAGUGAUCUAUUGGUUCCUUCCUCAAUUAUUGGUAUCAUUGUUGAGUUUCAAAGUGGGCAGUGCUUCAAAUUCAGCUUCCUCCUCCUCCUCUUCCUUUAUUAAAUCUAGGGGUUUCUUUUAUUCUUUCUCAUUUCUGGAAUUGGGAACAAUUGAGAAGUUUUUUGCCAACCAGAAUCUUAUCUUUAUCUUUUUUUCCACUUGAAAAUGCACAUUUUUCUUUGAUAAAAGACUAAUUAGACUCCAAAAAACGUGUGUUUGGAAUAUGAUUUAGUAAAUUUGAGGAUAGACGUGGUUAUAUAAAAAAAAAUUUUUUUUAAAGCAAAUCUACUGAUUAUAUUAAUAAAAUUCUAUUAAAUAAAGAGAGAUAUUAUAACAGUCAGCUGCCUGCUUGGCAGAAUUGCGGCAACUGACCGUCCCACAUUGAAAGAUUGAAAGAAAAUUGAUUUGUAUAUAAUAGCUAGUACAGAACUACUAAAUAAUUUGGGUUAAUCAUUUUGGGCCAAGUGGAAAAGUGGGCCUAAAAGUUAUUUGGGCCAGUUCGGGUCCGGCUGUUUCAAUUGGUAUCAGAGCCACCUGGAUCAGAUAAAUUGUGCAGAGCCACCCGAGGUACUAGCAAACCACAAUACCUAAGGGUCCGGUCCUGGUUAGCAAUUAUAAUGAAUUCAGUUGCGACGAGGACGUCGCAAAAAUUUAGCGGGACCAAGUGUAACAGUCAGCUGUCUGCUUGGCGAAAUUGCGGCAACUGACCGUCCCACAACGGAAGAUUGAAAGAAAAUUGAUUUGUAUAUAAUAGCUAGCACAGAACUACUAAAUAACUUGGGUUAAUCAUUUUGGGCCAAGUGGAAAAGUGGACCCAAAAGUUAUUUGGGCCAGUUCGGGCCCGGCUGUUUCAGAUAUCAUCCCAACAGAGAGACGAUUAUUAUUGAUAGAUUCUCUAGCCAAAGUAUGAGUAGGUAGAGUAGUAUUACAACGAAUCCAUCUAACAGAAAUAUCAGUUUUAGAGUCUAACAAAAAUUUAUAAUCAUUUAAAAUCAAACCCCUGCUAAUUUGGCAAAAAUGCUCAUCAAGUGCCUGUCUAAACCCUUGCAUAAGAUAAUUUAGCAAAAUAUUCCUCCUUCUUUCUCAUCUCUCAAGAAUAAAUCAUUAAAGUUUCCCGAACAAAGUCAUGGAAGAGAGUUUCUACGAAAUAAAGUUCGAAUAAGGUUUCAAAACUGACGUCGUCGUUGCAAUUCCAAAAACUCAUAAUAACUAAUAAAUCUCAUUUCAAAACAACCGAAUCAAUAAAAUUUGAAGAAAAACCAACCAUAAAAACAGACUCAUGACUCUCACAUUAACAAAAGAUCUCCUCCUAAUCAUUGUCUAUUAACUGAGAAACAACCAUCAAAAUGUAAAAAAUUAUGAAAAAAUUCCAUAGGAGAACUAAGAGCUUUUGUUUCCAUCAAAAAUAAAAUGUCCGGUUUGUAACUAUGAACCAAAUCCUUCAAUGCAAUAACUGUUGUCAUCAUAAAUCUGCCAAACAGGUCUGUAUAUUCUAAAAAUUAAUUGAAUUGUCUGUGAGAAACAUUUCCACCAUACAGAAAUCAUAAUCAUAAGAUCAGAAUAUCUUUGAAGUUCUUAAUAUGGACAACAACGUCUUCUUCUUCAUCGAUAGUCAAUUGAUGCUGAUCGUUUUCUAUAGGAAGGAAAAAGAAAAAGUUAGGUUUAAGGAAGAGGAAAAAGCGAGAGUAUCGAGUCACGAAUGGCAUAUAAGGAAACUUGCAAUUGAAUUAUAAAUAAAAAAUAAUAAAAAAAAACUUGUUUGCUUCAAUUGGCCAAAUUAUCCUAACACUGUACCCUUUCACAACUAAAAAUACACUAAAUUUUAACACUGUUACGUUAAUAUAAGCAGUUAAAUGUGAAAGAAGCUACAGUAAGAGUGUAAAAGUAACAGCAAUCCUGUUAAAAUUUAAUAAAAUAGACCUUUUAGUUGAGUUUUCAAAAUUACACGUACUAUAUAAUGUAUUUAUUUAAUUUUAUUAGUGGUGUGUAUUUAGUUGAUUCAUUAUUUAAUUUUAUUAGUGGUGUGUAUUUAGUUGAUUUGGUUUAAAAUCGAAUCAAAUCAAAAUAUAUUGAAAAUCGAUAUUUUAUUAUUUGUGAAAAUCAAAUUGAAUCAAUAUAAGAAGAAAUUGAUUUAAAUUAAACCGAUCUGAUUCAAUUCAAUUUGAUAUGAUUAAUUGAAUUUUUGAUUUUUUACACUUUAUUUUUUAAUAUUUUAAAAUUCAAUUAAAAUAUUUCGACUUAUUUAUGAUCUUAUAUUUUAAUAUUAUUAAAAAUAAUAUAUUAUUACUUACUAAUUGAUUUAGUUUAAUUUUAUUAAUUUUUAAAAAUUUUUAAAAAUAAUAUACCACAUCAAAUCAAAAUUUUUAAAAGUAAAAAUCAAAUCGAAUAUAAAAAAUAAUUAAAAUUUUAAAUUAAUUUAAUUCGUUUAAUUUUUUUUUAAAUUUAAUACUAUUCACUUUUAAAUUUCACUGUAAAAAUUAAAUAGUGAUUUUUCUAAGAAAUUUUCUCCGAAGACCUGUCAUAAUAUUCUUCCAAAUCCGGUGAGGCUCUUGUCCAAUUGUCGGUUGAGAUGGACCUUUUAUGCUCUGUUUACGGCAUUGAGCGUUCUGGUACAUUGCCCGCUCGCUGCUCAACUCUGGAGCCAUCAGUAUCAAUCAGGGGUCAGCUAUGUAGACCUUUAACUUUUUUUUUUUUUUUUCUUUUUGAGCUUUGUAAUAAAAAUGAGAUCUCGAGUGUUGCAACAGUGAGUGAUGGAAUCCUUGGUGAUCCAGGAACCAUCUAUUUUGGCAUGAGAAUAGGCAUUCUCCUCAGGACAUUGUCGUGCGUUGCAAGACUGGCAGAACGUGUGCCCUAGUGAAAUGGUACAAUCUCCGCCGCACAGCAGGCUUAUGGCAUCGAUCGGCGGGAGUAAACUUGCAGUAGGACUAGGAGAGGCUAAAUGCAAUAUUAUUGAUCCUCGCAGCAAGAUUCAGUACUGACAACAUCUCAAAUUAAGGCUCGUUUGUCUGCAGAAACAUACUUUUUAGAAAAAAUCUAACAUUUGGAUCGUUUAGAAUAGUGAAGACUAACCCUUUUCAGAGAAAAUAAUUAUUUUUUCUAAAACAUAAUUUUAUUGUAAAAUUUUGUGAAUUUUAUUAAUAUUAUAAAAUUUUUCACAUAUAAAUUAUUUUAUGUAAAUUGUGAAGCACAAAACAUAAAAAAAAAAUUUAAACUUAUUAAUACUCAAUUUAUUGAAUUUAUAAAUUCGUUUAUUAAUAUAUUAAUGAGUUAGCUCGUAAGUAAAUUAAUUUAUUUAAAAUUUUUAAUUUUAAAUUUAUUAUUUUAAAAUUAAAAUUUAUUAAAGUUAUAAAUAAAUUAAGAUGUUCAUAAUUUAUUUUUAUUUAAUUAAAAUUAUUUGAUUUUAAAUUUAAUUUUAAAAAAAUUAAAAAAAUUUAUCAACAAAUUAAAUUAUUUUAUAAGUUAUUUGAUAUUCAUCCUAAUAAAAUUUUAAUUUAAUUCGAUUUAUUUUUUUAAAUAAACUAAUUUUAAACUUAUUGAUAUUUGAGUGAAAUUCAAAUUAAUUAAAUUUGAAUUUAAUUGAAGUUAAAUAAAAAAAUUUAAUAAAUCAAAUUUAAGAUUUUCAAAAUUUAGAUCCGAAUGCGGUCCUAUUUUAUUGUGAUCUCUCUUACAUAACUAUGCUUUUCACUUUUAUUUUUUUAUUUAAUAUUUUUUAUUUAUCAGACUUAAAAUAAAAAGAAAAGGGAGAAUAUAGUAAUUUCAUGUGAGUAGUAUUCGAUUCAAUUCGAAAAGGUAAAUUAAAAAAUUGAUCGAAUUAAAUUAAUUUAAAAUUUUAAUUUAAUUUUUUAUUUAUUUCAGUUCGAUUCGAUUUUUAAUAUUAAAAAUUUUAAUUAUUUUGAUUUGAUUCAGUUUUGAUAAAAAAUCAAAAAAAUCGAACCAAAUUAAUUUAAUGAUAAUAGUAUAUUAUUUUCAAUAUUAUAGAGAGAUUAAAUUAUAUUAAGAUUAAAAUAUUUUAAUUAAAUUUUAAAAUAUUAAAAAUAAAAGAAAAAGAUAAAAAAUAAAAAUUUUAUUAAAAAUUUAAUAAUAAUAGUAUAUUAUUUUUAAUAAUCUUAAAAAAUUAAUAUUAACGUUAAAUAUUUUAAUUAAAUUUUAAAAUAUUAAAAAUAAAAAUAAAAUAUAAAAAAUAAAAAAUUUAUUAAAAAUUUAAAUUAAUUAAAUUAAAUUAAAUCUGAUGGAUUCAAUUUAUUUUUUAAUUAAAAUAAAUUUAAUUUAAUUUUUAUAAAUAUUAAAAUUUUAACUUUUACUUUAUUCCAUUCUAUUUUAAAUCCAGCCAAAUUUUCAUGAAUGCACUAUAUGUUUGAGGAAAGGCUCCUUGCACGUUGUCAUAAAGAUAACGAAUCAAACAAAAUAAUUCAGCAUUAAUAGGUCAAACACCCAUCUAAUAAUUUGAAUUUUCUUUUAUUUAUUUUAUUUUAUUAUUAAUAAAAAUUUUAAAAUAAAUUUAAUAUUUUUUUAAAAAAAAUUAAAUUAUUACGAAUUUUUACAAUAUUAAGAUAAAGUUAAAAAUCAUAAAUAAAAUUUUAAAUUAAAAAAACAAAUCAGACCAAUUGAAGAAUCAAACUGACCCACCUUUUUCCUCAAGGAGAUCCCUUCUCCUCCAUUUUCUCUUUCUACUUUUCUUUUUCUUCUUCUGUUUACUGUCUCUCUCUCUUCGAUUUCUUCCUCUCCCAAUCACCAUAUCAAGUAAAAUUAGUCUCUUUAGAUUCCUAUGCUCGUGAACUUCGCAUAGAUACUAGGAUUAUUCACCGUCGUUGUUUGGGUUGCACCAAUCAAAUAUUCAAAGUUCAUGAUCUUUUACAUUCUCUCUAAGAUUUCUCCCACACCAGAUAUUCUAUCCAAAAUCUGAAACUAUCAACGUGUUCUACUCAUCGAGAGCUUCGUGUAGACACCAAUUUCAUAAUUUUUCGGCAACAAAAAAUUUUAGAGAUCCAACGGUGAGUUUUCAGACCCUAGAGUUGUAUUUUUAAUAAAUUAAAAUUAUAUUUGUACUCAUAAUGUUAUGGAUUUUAUGUAGAUACCUUCAUUUUGGAGAAAUUCUACCGGAAUUUAAGUCCAAACCGGCUCAGGGACUGAUCUUCAAAAAGGUCAAUAUUAUAUUCUUUUUCAACAUUUUCAGACGUUUCGGACGCGUUUCAGUUGUUAGAAUUGAUUUUGGUAAACCCAAAUUCAAAAUUGUCAUGUUAUCGUAACGUGAUAUAUUAUUAAAUAUCUUAGGUAGGACAAGUAAAAUCAAUUGUUAUAAUAAGGUAUAUUAUUGAGAACUCUAGAGAAUAUUUGUAAAAUUUUUAAAAUGUUUUUAGUAUUUUAUUAGACGGGAGAGAUUUUAAUGUUUUGACAAGCGCCCAAUGAGUAAAAUAUUUUUGUGCUGCGGCCUAAGGCUAUUGUAAGGCUAUUGUACUUGUAGACAUAGACUAACUGUGUUUGUUUACGUAGGUUCUAAGUAUGGGAAACUCCGUCAAAUUUUUGUUCUUAAGUAUGAGAAAACUCUGUCAAAUUUUUGUUAUAGGCUUAGAAUGUUUUUGUCACUCUCUUAGUUUGUUUGUGGUCUGUCCUUGAUAAUCUUCUUUCCAGCAAAACUAUUGGGUGUCAGGUCACCCCAUUUUGUGAAAUUCUAACAAUUAUUUGAUAAAUUUAUGUAUUUAAUAUUAAUAGAGACAUUUUAUUAUUUGUAAUUAGGCUGUCCUAUUUUAGUUAUCCUCUUUCAAUCAGAAUGAGUGGAGGUGGUAUGCUUUUAUCUCUAGAGGAUAGAGUGAAGUGUGACACUUUGAGGUGGUAGUUUUUUUUUUUUUUUUUUUUCCAACUUCAUCUUCCUUGCAACACAGAUCACAGAACAGAAUCAUGGCAAAGGCAGAGAGCAGUUUCAAGCAGCCAAGGUGGUCUCUUCAGGGAAUGUCCGCUCUUGUCACUGGCGGCACUCGCGGAAUCGGGUGUCUCUCUCUGUCUCACUUCUUUCUUUCUAUGGACAAAAUAUAAAUUUCCCUGUGGUGCUGAUUGUGGGGUUUUAUAGAAAUGCAACGGUGGAGGAGCUUGCUGGGCUAGGAGCUAGAGUUCACACAUGUUCAAGAAAUGAAGCAGAGCUAAGUAAGUGCUUGAAAGAGUGGGAAGCCAAGGGUUUUGUGGUCACUGGAUCAGUUUGUGAUGUAACAUCUCGGGCCCAGAGAGAGAAGCUAAUUGAGCAAGUGGGUUCCCUUUUUAAUGGCAAUCUCAACAUUUUUGUAAGUAAUGUCGGCAUUUCUACAUCUCAUGAUUUUGUAUGUUUUAUCUGCAGUGAUGUUUUUAAUUUUCUUGUAAUAGUUUUCUGCAACUUUGAUUGCAUUGCCUUGCACUGUUUUACAUACAUAUAUUAAUAGACUCCGCGUAUACUUGCACUUUUUGACUGAUUAUAAUUAAUUUAUGGAAAAAUUACUACAAAGUUUUUAUGCUACGAGAAAAUUCACUAAUUGGUCUCUCUAUUUUGAAAAUGCAUUAAAAUCGUACUUGACAUCUUAAAAAGUUGGUUAUUCCGUUAAUUUUAGCAGUUAAAUCUUGCAAAAAAAUUUAAAAUGCUCUUGAUAUAGAUAAACUGAUUAGUAAGCUUUUUAAAGAUACUCAACAAUUAAAUUAAUAGAAAGAUUUAUUAGUAGAUUUUUUAAAAUGUCAAUGACGUUUUAAUGCAUUUUUUAAAAUCGAUAGACCCAACUAGUAAGUUUUCUCAUACCAUAGGGACUAAAUAACAAUUUUUUCUUAACUUAUUGAACACCUAAACUAAAUUGUAAUUAUUCAACACCUGAACUUGUAAAAUUCAUAACAAUUAAACACAAAUUAAUCAUAUUGUUGAUAAUUUAUAGUAACUUAAUCAUACAUUGUUAGUGUAUUAUAAAUUUCGCUAAUUAUGCUCAAAACUUUUAUAAAUCGAUAAAAUUAGAUGAUAUAAUUUUAUUAUUAUAUGAAAUUUUAGAAUUUAAUUAGCAAAUUUUUAGUAAUAAGUUGCCUUUCUUUUUUAUAAAUCAUCAAUAAAAUGAUUAAUUUAUAUUUAAUGUUAUAAUUUUUAUAAGUUUAGGUAUCAAUAAGUUACAAUUUUUGUUCAGGUGUGUAAUAAACUAACAUGAAAUAGUACUAUUUAGCCAAUUCUUUUUCUAUAGAUGUCGGAAAUUUUAAUGUGCUUGAUCUCUUACAUUCAGGUUAAUAAUGUUGGCAAAUAUAUGUGGAAAGCAACUACUGAGUUCUCUGCUGAAGAAUUUUCAGAACUCCUGAACAUUAACUUUGAAUCUGCAUACCAUCUGUGCCAACUUGCACAUCCUCUUCUAAAAGUGUCUGGAGCAGGAAGCAUUAUAUUCAUUUCCUCUGUCGCUGGUCUUGUGCACAUUGGUCAUACCGGAUCAAUUUAUUCAUCAGCCAAAGGUGAGUUACUGUUGUAAAACUAGUCUAUUUUUUUUAGUAAAAACCAUAUGGCAUUGGGAAUUUAUGGACUCGAUUAAUUCAAAUUCGUAUCGAGCAGAUUUAUUAAGAGAACAAACAUGUAUAUCCAACUGACUAACUUGUAUAUCCAAUUUGCUGAUUACAGCUGCAAUUAAUCAGCUUACAAAAAAUUUGGCUUGCGAGUGGGCGAAAGACAAUAUCAGGACAAAUUGUAUUACGCCAUGGGUUAUCAGAACCUCACUUGUGGAAAAUGUAAUGUUCUCUGUCAUACCUAUGGCACAUUAAUUUUGCUAUUUACGUGGGUAUGUGAUUCAACUUGAAAGUUUCAUAUUGUGACCUGAAUUGAAUAAAAAAUAAAAAUUUAUCUUGCAAUUAUUUCAAUAAUUUUUUUUAAAAUAAAAAUCUUGUAUUGUGGUCUCAUACUGAGGCAGUUUGUUUUGUAAAAUGCUCCAUAUGAAUGGAAUUGGACAUGAGAGGUCUCUCAAAAAC